RNAcentral lists this microRNA precursor (66 nucleotides) under Pan troglodytes (chimpanzee). Its description in RNAcentral is "miRNA". Lineage: Eukaryota; Metazoa; Chordata; Mammalia; Primates; Hominidae. The record is from RNAcentral.
GAGUCGAGGACUGGUGGAAGGGCCUUUCCCCUCAGACCAAGGCCCUGGCCCCAGCUUCUUCUUCUC